This 317-nucleotide ribosomal RNA is filed under the name uncultured bacterium. RNAcentral describes it as "bacterial SSU rRNA". It matches the Rfam family "Bacterial small subunit ribosomal RNA", at positions 30 to 349 of the family's 1533-position model. The record is from RNAcentral.
AUUGAACGCUGGCGGCAUGCCUUACACAUGCAAGUCGAACGGCAGCACGGGAGCAAUCCUGGUGGCGAGUGGCGAACGGGUGAGUAAUAUAUCGGAACGUGCCCAGUGAUGGGGGAUAGCCCGGCGAAAGCCGGAUUAAUACCGCAUACGACCUACGGGUGAAGGCAGGGGAUCGCAAGACCUUGCGUCAUUGGAGCGGCCGAUAUCAGAUUAGCNGUUGGUGGGGUAAAGCCUACCAAGGCGACGAUCUGUAGCUGGUCUGAGAGGACGACCAGCCACACUGGGACUGAGACACGGCCCAGACUCCUACGGGAGGC